Molecule: ribosomal RNA, 573 nt
Filed under: Pristimantis cf. malkini NMP-P6V71199/9
Lineage: Eukaryota; Metazoa; Chordata; Amphibia; Anura; Strabomantidae
Description: partial large subunit ribosomal RNA
Rfam family: Bacterial large subunit ribosomal RNA
Source: RNAcentral
AAACAUCGCCUCUUGACUCCCAUAAGAGGUCCAGCCUGCCCAGUGACCUGGUUCAACGGCCGCGGUAUCCUAACCGUGCGAAGGUAGCGUAAUCACUUGUCUUCCAAAUAAAGACUAGUAUGAAAGGCACCACGAGAACUAAACUGUCUCCCUUUUCCAAUCAGUGAACCUAAUACCCCCGUGAAGAAACGGGGAUUUUACAAUAAGACGAGAAGACCCUAUGGAGCUUUAAACAUCAUAAUCACCUGCCCAUAAACAAGAUACUCAGGUCCCCCACCCAAACCCACGAUGAUUAUAUGUUUUUGGUUGGGGUGACCGCGGAGAAAAACACAUCCCCCGCGAUGAAAACCUACCUAAACAACAAGCCACAACUUUAUGUAUCAACAAAUUGACACUAUUGACCCAAUAUAUUGAUUAACGAACCAAGUUACCCUAGGGAUAACAGCGCAAUCCACUUCAAGAGCCCCUAUCGACAAGUGGGCUUACGACCUCGAUGUUGGAUCAGGGUAUCCUAGUGGUGCAGCCGCUACUAAGGGCUCGUUUGUUCAACGAUUAAAACCCUACGUGAUCUGA